CACACCUUCACGCCGACCAGUCAGUCAGUCAUUCAGGCAACACUCAUUCUGUCAGUCAGUGUUGGUGGUGGUGGUGGUAGUGGUUGUGGUGGAUAAGGUUGUGGUGGUGGUUGUGGUGGUCUGACUCACGCACUCACUCGCUCUCUCUCUCUCUAGUCGUUAUAUAAGGGCACCCCAGCGCCCUGCACAGCCCACAGGAGCCUGCCUUGAGCCUGCACAGCCUACCCCCAGCCUACACAAGAUGGCGAUGAUGGAAUACCUUCUCAGCCCUCGCGGCAUCAUCAAACUUAGUCAACUGCUCCUCAUCAUCAUCACCCUGGGCACGUGGUUUGGCCUGGGCGAUGACUGGCGGGACUUCAUCACCGGCACCAUCUUCACCGCCCUCUUCUCCGCGCUGGCCAUCUUCACGCAGAACAUGAUUGCCGACCACGCCCGAGUUGUGGAAAUCCUUAUGGGCGGUGUGCUGUGCCUGUUCCUGUCCAUCAGCGGCAUUAUCGUGUUGGUCAAGGUGUCGGGCGAUCCAGUGGCGGCAACUUGCGGCUCCUUCUGCUUCUUCACCGCUGUGGCCUACGGGGUGGACGUCUUCUUCGCCUUUAAGCUUGAGGGCGCAGAGUAAAGGAAGGCAUGGCUGAGGAGGAGGUGCAGGAGAGGGAGAGGCAUGGUAUUGAUGGGGGUUAAGGAGGAGGAGGAAAGAGAGGAAAGUUAGGGAAAGGGAUGGUUGAAAAGGGGUUGAGGAAAAGGUGCAGGAGAGUAAAGGAAGAGAUGGUAUGGAUGGGGGUUGAGGAGGAGGAGGAAAGUAAGGGAAAGAGAUGGUUGAAAAGGGCUUGAAGAAGAGGUGCAGGAGAGGGAGAGAGAUGGUAUUGAUGGGGGUUGAGGAGGAGGAGGAAAGUAAGGGAAAGAGAUGGUUGAAAAGGGCUUGAAGAAGAGGUGCAGGAGAGGGAGAGAGAUGGUAUUGAUGGUGGUUGCGGAGGAGGAAAGAGAGGAAAGUUAGGGAAGGGAUGGUUGAAAAGGGGUUUGAGGAAGAGGUGUGAAGGAAGGAGAGAGGGGAAGAAGGUGGUGAAAUGAAGAGAGGAGGAGAAGAGAAGAGAAAGGUAGCGAGAGAGAGGAGUUGUAGGGAUAAAAAGGAGGGAUAGAUAAAGAGUAAAGUGGAAUAAAGUAGAAGGAUAGAAAGAAAGAGAGAAAGAGGAUGAAAGAAGACUAAACAGAGGAAUCGUUAAAAUGAAAACAAUUGUAAUACGGAUAAAUGUAGAUAAUGAA
Molecule: RNA transcript, 1257 nt
Organism: Eriocheir sinensis (Chinese mitten crab)
Lineage: Eukaryota; Metazoa; Arthropoda; Malacostraca; Decapoda; Varunidae
Exons: 6
Source: RefSeq, a predicted model, not a curated record